RNAcentral lists this long non-coding RNA (16264 nucleotides) under Gossypium barbadense (sea-island cotton). Its description in RNAcentral is "long non-coding RNA (GBAR_LNC022614)". The record is from RNAcentral. Lineage: Eukaryota; Viridiplantae; Streptophyta; Magnoliopsida; Malvales; Malvaceae.
UUCUUAUAAAUAUAUCCUAGGAGACACGAAAGGCAUAUCCAAGCAACAACAUUAUGUGGAUACGGUUGUAUUAUUGAAAAAUUUUAUGUCCAUGGUUGUAUUGUCAGCUGUACAAGCCUAAUAAUGCCCGGGCCCAAACCCAAUAAACUAAACCAAAACCCAAUAGCUAAUUCCUAACCCAGGCCCGAAACUAAUGGAAAAGGGAAGGGUUGGGAAGCCCUAGCAACAGCCCUCGCCUCCAGCAGACUCUCCAGGCGCCGCACGUCUCGGGGCCGACCUCUCCACACGCGCCGUUUGCUCCACGAACGCCUGCAAAUGCGGACUCAAUGAGUCCGAAAGAAAAAAACAACAAGAAAUAACAUUAUUUCAUUAUUUUCUUUUUCUUUUUCUUUUUCGGGCUAUAAAAAGCCAUUUCUAAUCUGUAAAAUGGGGGUCGAAAAAUAUAUGCAAAGAUAUAGAGAGAAAAUACAGGAAUUAAACUUGUUUUUGCAUAGGCGAUUUCUUCUUUGUUUUGCUUUGCAGUGUCCAUCGUUUUUUACAUAUAUAUUGUUUUAUUCUCUUUUAUUUUCGUUUUAUUUCAUUUAAAACAAUAAAGAAAAGAAGGGAUCUUACCUCUUUCGUCAAAGUCCCCGGAUGGUUGCCAUCUCCGUCGCAAUCGGAGCGUUGGCACGAACGGCGGCGCAAAAUGGGUUAAAAGAGCCCUAACAGAGCAACUAUUUUUUUUAAAUGUUUGCUGUGGCUGUUGUUUUGAAGGAAAACUAAAGACUUUCUAAUUAGGGUUUUGGGUUGGUUUUUAUAGAGGGAAAAGUGACACCGUUUAAUGGCCUAGUGAUCCUUGCAUUUUGUCUUAAUGGCCUAAUUGUGCAUUGGGUCCUUCAUUCUUUUAUUGCUUUAAAAUCAAGUUUUUUUUUGUUUUUUAAUUCCCCUAGGAUUUAUUUCAUUUUCAAUCGGGUCUAUAAUUGAACGGCGUCGUUUUGGAGGGUAGGGAUUAAUUUCCCUUUUGAUCCCUCCUUAUUAUUCACGUGUUCGAUCAAGUUUGUCCGUUUUUUUACUUAUUUUCGAAUCUACCCCAUUUUUUUGUUUUUAAGUUCAAUUUAGUCCAUCUUUAGCCAUUUUUUUAUUAUUUCUUUUUUUUAUGUUUAUCAUUAUAGCAUUAUUUAUUAUUAUAUUAUUUACUAUCACUGUUAUCAUCAUUACUUCUAUCUUCAUACAUGCAUUAUCUUUUUUAUAAAUAAUACAUAUACGCAUGUUUUUUACUCGCAUAGUUUUUUUUUAUAAUAUAUAUAUAAUGCAUUUUAUGUAGAAUAUGUAUAGCUGCAUACAUUUUAUACACUUUUUUAUUUUCAUUUUAUUUCUUAACUUCUAUAUACAUAUAUAUGCAUUUCAUAAUUUCUUAAUAUAUUUUUUUUUCAUUUUUUAAAUACACAUAUUUUUUACAAAACAUAAAUAUCUUUUAUAUUUUAAUUCCAAAAAUAUUUGUUUACUUUACUUUCGUGGAUAUGUACAUAUACCUACUUUCAUAUAUACGUUUCAUCAUUUAUUUUCAUAUUUUUUUUACAUACAUAUAUAUAUACACAUAUGCAUACUUUUAUAUUUUUUUAUUUUUCACGAUUUUCAAACACAUAUACAUGCAUUUUUAUUGGUUUUUUAAUUGAUAUAUUCUAUUCCAUCUUUCCAUAUGUAUUCUUGUAUAUGUACGUUAAAUAUAUGCGUACACAUAUUUUCAAAUUUACUUGUAUAUUGUACUUGUAUAUAUAUUUGUAAAUACAUAUUCAUAUAUGUUUUAAAUUAAAGUUUUUGUUUCAUAUUAACAUACCUUUUGGGAAAUAUAUUUUGGUUUGUCGAAACAUCAAAAUUAUUUUUUUCUCUUGAUUCAAUCUUUUUUUGAAUAAAAGCAAUAUUCAAAGUUUGGGAUUUUCGAGGAAAUCGAGCCCUAACGUAUUGGGUUCCGAUUUUCUUUGUUAAUCUUAAAUAACCGAGAAUAUUCUUUAUUCAAAAUACAUGAGUAUAAAAAUCACUUUCGGGAACUUAACUUGUUGUGUCCUAACGUAUUGGGUGUGACAUGUUAUUUUCUCUAAAUGAAGAUUUUCAUAUAAAAUAAAGUGAUAUUCAAAGUUCGGGGAUUAUGAAGAAUUGUACCCUAACGUAUUGGGACUCGAUUUCUUUACAUGACUUGAACAAUUAAUUAUCCUUUUUCAAAUUCCAUCGUUUGAGUUGAUUUUUAAAUUUUUUUUAACCUUCGACACUAAGACAUCAAAUAAUCAAUUUGGUGCCGAUUUUGGGCGUUACGAGUGUGCUAACCCUUCCUCGUGCGUAACUGACUCUCGAACUCGUUUUCUCAAAAUUCGUAGACCUAAAUAAUUUUUAAGGUGAGCCGAUCACACCUUAAUAAAGGAUUGGUGGCGACUCUAGUUUUAUUUUUUAAGUCGACAACUAGAUUUUUGUUUUUCAAAAAAACGAUUUCGACAGCUUGGCGACUCCACUGAAGACUUUGAGAGUCGAGCCAUAAACUGAUAGUAUUUGUCUUUGUGUCGAAAAUCAAAAGUUUUUAGAAAAUUUCAUGAGUUCCUUUCGCAUUCAUUGAUUUCUUUUUUUUCAUCUUGGUAUGUUGGUAGCUUUGCAUUUACAUUUUGCAUUGUACCCUUUAAGUGGGAGCGAGAAACUAGUCCUUCAUGAGGUUUUCACCUCCGUGCAGGGUAGUGGACCGUUUCCAGGAUGCAUCCGUACCUAUAUCUUCGUGAGAUUUUCAUCUCCGUGCAGCCAUAGGGAAAUGUAUCCCCUUGAACUGAACUUGAUCCAUAUGAGCCUAUAAUGGGUGAGGAUCGAGGAAUCUGCUGGUUCGGGUACCCUUACUCUAGAAACUAAACAUCAUAUAGUGAGCUUUAGGAACUUGACCUAGGUAGAACUAUCCCAAAACCCUAGUGGAUUCCAGAUUAACUGUUUCUUGCUAUUUCAUGCUUGUAUUGGAUUAUAUCUCUAUAUGUGAUACUGACUUGGGUUUCUUUUGUUUUGAUUGCAUGACAUCAUGAUUGCAUAGCAUUUCAUCCUAAAAGGGCGUUAGUUCAUAUUCGGUUGCUAAAUAGAAAGCUUAUCAUGGAGAAAGGGUUUCUUGAUAAGAUGGAAGAUAAUGCGGCUGUCCAAACUUGGUCUGAGACAACACAGCAAGAGAAAGGUGAUAGUUUGGCCGAGGGAUAUGUGUCAGAGUUGUGGGACUUCACUCGUGUUAGUGCGACUCAGAAUAGCCUACAUAAACUAAAGGAAAUUUGGGAAAGGUGGAAUGAUGAGGUUAAACAGCUCUUCUACUCUAGCUAUGGAGACCUACCUUACUUGCUCGACUUAAAGGUGGAUAAGCACUUAUUUCGUGCCUUAGCCCAAUUUUGGAAUCCUGCUUAUAGUUGCUUUACCUUUGGAAAAGUUGACUUAGUGCCUACGAUGGAGGAAUAUACGGCCUUGCUUCGUUUUUCAAAGAUCCAAGUAGAUAAAGCCUACUCGAGAGCUGCUAAUGUUCCAACCUUUUUGAAGAAAUUGAUGAAUAUUACGGGGAUGAGUGAGCAAUGGGCCGCAGCACGAAUCAAACAAAAGGGAGAUAGUAAAUGCAUUCCUUGGAAGAGCCUGAAGGAUUUAAUUCUAGCACACCCGGAUACGAGGAAGAAGGUUGAUGUCUUUGCCUUGGGUAUUUACGGUUUAGUUACCUUUCCCAAAGCCUUGGGACAUGUUGAUGAAGCAGUCACUGAUCUUUUCGAUCGACUUGGUAAAGGAGUUACACCGGUUCCAGCAAUUUUAGCAGACUCUUUCAGGUCACUGAACGAAUGCUGAAGAGUAGGUGAAGGAAGAUUCGUUGGAUGUGCGCAGCUUCUCUUGGCAUGGUUUCACAGUCACUUCUGGAAGGCUGAUAAAUUUUCCUAUCGAGUUUUUUUCUGAAACUUAUUCGCCUUUGAAAGAAAUAGUGGCGAUACCGAGGCAAGAUGGUGUUUUAGAAGAAAGAUGGAUUGCAAUUCUUCAGAAUCUUCAAGAGGAGAAUAUCGAGUGGAGAGCUCCUUGGAUGCUGCCAGAUGAGAUCUUGUAUAGGUGUGGAGAUUUCGAUAAGGUCCCUCUACUUGGGAUUUGGGGAGCUAUCGGCUAUGCACCGUUACUGGUAUUGAGACAGUAUAGAUCGAGGCAGUUCGUACCUACAACCCAAGGAUUAGCUCAAAGUGAAUUCUCGUAUAAGUAUGAUGGUUACAAGAAGAAGAUUCGAGAAAUGACAAAUGCUUAGAGGCAGACUCGACGAAUGAAGAGAUUGGCAGUAGUUCAUCGACGACUCUUGAAUAUAUCAAGUGGCUAGGUAGGAGGGUCAAUGAUAAUAUACCUGCACCAGGUCAAGGAGACAAUCAAUUAGUAGAAAAGCAUGUACAUGUAGUCCCUUCUGAGCUAGCAAUUAUAAAGCAAGAUUUUCAAAGAAGAAACUCAGAGCUCGAAAGGAAGAUAGAGCAAAUAGAAGAGGACAAGAUGAAUUUAAAGUUGGACAUAGAUGUUCAGAAGCUGGAAACCGAAGGUCUGAGAAAAGAAAAGUGCAAAGUCGAUGAAGAUUUGAAUAACUUGAAGACGGAUUAUAAGAGACUACGUAUGUCGAUGAGAACUGUUGGGUUGGGAAAAACCUCAGAGUAGUGGCGUCAAGAAGUUCAAGAAGCAAAAGGUCAAGGCUGAUAGGUGGGAAAAGAGAUUUCAGGAGGCUCAAAAGCAAAAUAAGUCCUUUGAGAGGAGUUUGUCAGAAAGUCGGAAUGAAAAGGAUGAAUUAAAAGCUAAGGUGGCCGAACUGGAUGAAACUAUUCAUCAAUAUCGAAAUCGCAAUGUUGUGAUGGAGUUGCAAGCAAGUUUGAGCAGGAUCGAGAAGAUGAAGAGAACAGUAGAAGGAUUAGAGAUGGCAUUACAGAACUGUGAAGUCAGGAUUGAACAUCUGGAAGCAAAUGAAGACCAUCAAAGUGAACAGCUUCACUAUCUCCAGGAUCAAAUUGCAAGAAGGGAUCACAUUAUGGGAGAAGCUGUGGUACAGAUUCAAGGGGUAGCUGAGCACCUGCAGACUUUAGCAAUACAAGCUGAUAUACUAAGUGUGAAGUACGAAUCAGAAUCAGAUCAGGGGCAGAAGUUGGCAUCAUUACUUAGGGAGAUUAAAGUUCUAAGUGUUAGGGCAAAGCCCUAUUUAUAGCCAUUUUAUGUAAAGAUCUCUAGUAAAGUUUUUUGAAUGGAAUUGAAUUAUAAUUAAUGCCUUUUUUGCAUUCAUCUCAUGCAUCGCAUCAUAUGUAUUAGCACCGCAUUAUAUGCAUUAAAGAUCUUUAUUUAAUCCUAAUAAGUCAAAAUCACUGCUCAGUUAACCUGGAAACCAACCAACCCAACACCGAUACGGCACUCGAGCAAAGACAAAAGAUAUGGAUCAGAGAUUGGAAAAACUCGAACAGUGUCAGAAGGAGAUGCAAGACCAACUUCAGCUACAGGUGCAGGAGCGGUUAGAUAAGAUGAAACAAGAGAUGUCUGAGAAGAUGCGAGAAUCCCAAGAAGAUAUAGUGGCAAAGUUAACCCAACUGAUAACUAAGGGAAGUGAUAAAGGAAAGGGCCCCAUGGCUAAUGUCGAUGAGGGAAAUGAUGAUGAACCUCUCUAUCCUCUAGGUUUCACCCCUCCACGUAUGCGAGCUCAAGUUGAAUACCCGCGCAAAUCUACUGUCACUAUCAUGCCUCAGCAGUUUCGGGCUGGUAUUUCAAACUUCCAAGCUGGACUGGGUUCUAAUCCUGAAAAUAAUCCUGUUAACUCUGCCAUUCCUGACUUUGAUGAAAUGGUUGAGAAGGAAAGAAUGAAGGAGGAGUUACUAAAACAGUUAGAGGAAAGGUGUAGGUGGCUCGAGGAGAAGUUCAAGGCGAUGAAGGUCACUGAGAGUUAUCGAAGCAUUGACGUAAAAGAGCUGAGUUUAGUGUCAGAUUUAGUACUCCCUCAUAAGUUUAAGAUGCCUGAAUUUGAAAAGUACAAUGGGACUAGCUGCCCAGAAGCUCACAUCACCAUGUUCUGCAGGCGAAUGGCGGGAUAUGUUAACAACGACCAACUCUUGAUACAUUGUUUCCAAGACAGCCUUGCUGGGGCAGCAUCCAAAUGGUACAAUCAGUUAAGUCGUGCCACGAUUGGUUCAUGGAGGGACUUGGCACAAUCGUUCAUGAAACAAUAUAAUCAUGUAACAGACAUGGCUCCUGAUAGAAUCACCCUUCUAAAUAUGGAGAAGAAGCCGAGUGAAAGCUUCAGGCAGUACGCACAGAGAUGGAGGGAGGUCGCGGUCCAAGUUCAGCCACCGCUCUUGGAAAAAGAAAUGACCAUGUUGUUCAUUAACACCCUGAAGGCACCGUUCAUUACACACAUGUUAGGAAGUGCUACAAAAAGCUUUCCUGACAUAGUCAUGAAUGGCGAGAUGAUUGAGAACGCCAUCAGGAGUGGGAAGAUUGAUGAAGGAGAGAGUAAUAGAAGAUCAACUUCGAAGAGGAAGGAAAACGAGGUGAACAACUCGAGCAUGUACAACAAGGGUUACUCGAAGUCAGUAACAGUGAGUUAGCCAGGAAAGGUGGCUGCCAAUCAGCAAAGCUCGUCGAGACAAGAGGUCGGUAUAAGGUGAAAUACUGAGAGGCCCCAAUUCACGCCAAUUCCUAUGUCGUACAGGGAACUAUACCGAAAUUUAUUUGACGCACACGUAGUUUCCCCUUUCUAUCUGAAGCCCUUGCAACCCCCGUAUCCCAAAUGGUACGAUGCGAAUGCACAGUGCGACUAUCAUGCGGGAACAACAAGGCAUUUCAUAGAAAACUGUACGACCUUUAAGAAGUUGGUUAAAAGGCUCAUUGGUAUGGGUGUCGUUAAAUUUAACUACUCGACCAAGGUAGGAAACCCGUUACCAAACCACACUGAUGGUGGGGUAAAUAUGAUGGGCGAAGACAGAAGAAUCAAGGCAGAAAUUACGGAUGUGAAAACUCUUUUGAGAUGGGUUUGAAAGGAAAUGGUGAAAAGGGGACUAAUCGUUUCAGAAGGAAGUUGUGAAAAGAGGGGGAACUACUGUGAGUUCCACCAUAAAGUGGGGCAUGAAAUCCAAGAGUGUACAGAGUUCAGAGCCAUGAUACAAGGUAUGAUGGAUAAUAGGGAGAUGGAAUUCUGUGAAUGAGUUCAAGAGGAGAGUCAUGUAUGCACGUCAGAGUUGGCAUUGGGAGUUCUGAAGGCUAACCAUCCUGUGGUCAUCAUCUCGCGACCUCAGAACAGUGAGGUUGGGGCAGAAAUAACACCAACAGUAAUCAUUCAAAAACUGGCUGUGUUUGCAUAUAAGGAUAACAGGGAGGUUCCUUGGAAUUACGAUUGUAAUGUGCAAUCCCGGGGAAGGAGGAUAUAAUCAGUAAAGAGGAUCAGAAUGAAGGAAGGCACUACGAACAGAUGAAGGCUCGAGUAGAGCCAAUAAGAAAAGAAGCUUCGGUUGGAAAGAAGAAGAAUACGGUCGAACCUAAAUUAUUGGUCAAUGAACCAAUCAAAGAGGAGGAAGCUAGAGAGUUCUUGAAGUUCCUAAAGCAUAGCGAGUACAGCGUUGUGGAACAACUGUACAAACAACCAGCUCGCAUAUCUAUGCUAGCUUUACUCCUGAACUCAGAGGGACAUCGAAAUGCACUACUGAAUGUGCUAAAUGAAACUUAUGUGGCUGACGAUAUCUCUGUUAACAAGUUGGGUCGACUGGUCGGUAAUAUAAGCGCUGAUAACUUCAUAUCCUUUAGCGAUGAUGAAAUACCACCUGGGGGUAUGGGAUCUACUAGAGCUUUACACAUCACUGCAAUGUGUAAAUGGUGCAUAUUACCAGGAGUUCUGGUAGACAACGGAUCGGCACUGAAUGUAUUGCCUCUAUCCACGCUCAACAGGCUACCUGUGGAUAGUUCACAUAUGAAGUCGUGCCAAAAUGUGGUGAGAGCAAUUGAUGGCACCGAGAGGAAAGUCAUGGGAAGAAUUGACAUACCCUUGUUAAUUGGCCCAACUAUCUAUGAGGUGGACUUCUUGGUAAUGGACAUCAACCCUUCUUACAGUUGUCUAUUAGGAAGGCCAUGGAUUCAUUCAGCAGGAGCGGUAUCAUCAUCGUUACAUCAAAAACUGAAGCUGGUGUCAGAAGGUCGGCUAGUGACGAUAAAUGCUGAAGAAGAUAUCAUUGCAUCUGUGACCAACGAUGCGCCUGAUUUGGAAACAAGUGAUGAUGCAAUCGAGUGCUCUUUUCAUUCCUUGGAGUUCGUAAAUGCAACAUUCAUCCUUGAGGAAAACAAGAUCCCGAUGUCGAGAAUAUCAAAGACCACAAAGAUGGGUCUGCAAUUGACAGUUGGAAAGGGAGCUUUGCCGAGAAAAAGAUUGGGGAAAUAUCUUCAGGGCCGAGUUGAGGCUCCAGUGUUGAAAGACAAGCAGGACCAUUUUGGCUUAGGAUACAAGCCAGAUGCUAGGCAGAAGAGGAUAGAGCAAGAGAAGAAGCGAGAGAGAAGAAGGGCUCGUUUGAUAGGUGAUCAAGUCAAAUGGGAGCCUAUGACCUUUCCUCACCUAUCUAAGACUUUUGUAUCGGGAGGAUUUAUCUAUCAAGGAAUGCUAGGAGUCGGAAGUAUUAACACGGAGUUAGAAAGUAUUCAUGCCGUGUAUGAAGAAGCGACGGGAGGAGGAACAUUGCAGGAUAUUCAACUUUACGAACCGAGAAGUGUGCUAAACAACUGGACUGCAGAAGAAAUACCUGUAGUUUUUAGGAUUUCCUCAGAGUAAUGUCCAGAACACCCUUAUUGCUUUUAGCCUAGAAGUGAUAAGGAUUCCUUUGUGAAAUAGGCUCAUGUCUAAAAAAUCGUUAUUUUAAUAAAGUUCAUUCUUGCAGUCAUUUUUGGAGCAAAUCUUUCUUUCUAUAAGAGCAGUUAUUUUGAAUUUCUCUCAAACUACACUUGCAUUUCAUUCAUGACCAUAUUGCACCAAAUAAAUUCCUGAAUCCAUAUUGUUUUUCAUAACAGGUCCUAUGAUAUCAAUGAUACGAAUGUCACUCUUACAAAUUUAGAGUCUCUUUUUGAACGAAACAUGUGUUUAGAAGGAUCGCAUGAUUUUGAAGAUGACGAAGACUGUGGUUUGUCUCCUGACUUGUUGAAGAUGGUAGAAAGGGCCGAGAAACAAAUCCUACCUCACAGGGAAUCAAUAGAAGUUGUGAGCUUGGAGGAAGGAAAAGAGGUGAAUAUCGGAUCUGAUAUUUCUGCAAAGAUAAGAUAAAACCUCAUCAGACUACUCCAGGAAUUCAAUGAUGUCUUUGCAUGGUCAUACCAAGAUAUGCCUGGGUUAAGUACGGACAUUGUAGUCCAUCGCCUUCCUAUAAAAGAAGAUUGCAAGCCAGUGCAGCAAAAGCUCAGAAGGAUGAGACCUGAUAUCGAGUUGAAUAUAAAAGAAGAGGUCCAGAAGCAGUUUGAUGCUGGAUUUCUGCAAGAAGUGAAGUAUUCUGAGUGGGUGGCCAACAUCGUACCAGUUCCAAAGAAAGAUGGGAAUGUACGAAUGUGUGUGGAUUACAGGGAUUUUAACAAGGCCAGUCCAAAAGACAGUUUCCCAUUACCUCACAUCGACACAUUGGUAGUCAAUACAGCGGACUUUUCAUUGUUUUCCUUCAUGGAUGGUUUUUCUGGGUAUAAUCAGAUAAAGAUGCAUCCCGAGGACAGGAGAAAGACUACGUUCAUUACGUUAUGGGGAACGUUUUGUUAUAAAGUGAUACCGUUUGGAUUAAAGAAUGCGAGAGCAACAUACCAAAGAGCCAUGGUAGCCUUAUUCCAUGAUAUGAUGCAUAAGGAGAUCGAGGUUUAUGUUGACGAUAUGAUCGCGAAAUCUAGAACGGAUGAGGAACAUGUGCAGGUCUUGAGAAAGUUAUUCUUAAGAUUGAGAAAGUUCCAGCUCAAGCUUAAUCCAGCGAAGUGCACUUUUGGGGCCAGGUCAGGAAAAUUGCUAGGCUUCAUAGUCAGUGAAAAGGGAAUCGAGAUUGACCCAGACAAAGUCAAGGCAAUAAGAGACUUACCUCCACCUCGCACUCAGAAAGAAGUUUGAGGUUUCCUCGGAAGACUGAAUUACAUCGCUAGGUUCAUUUCACAACUAACUGAGAAAUGUGACCCUAUAUUUUAUCUUUUGAAGAAACAUAAUCCUGGUACUUGGGAUGAAGAAUGCGAAGAAACUUUUAACAAGGUGAAGCAGUAUUUAUCUAAUACUCCAGUGCUAUCACCACCUAGCCCAGAUAGGCCGAUGAUAUUGUAUGUGAUAGUAUUUGAUAAUUCCAUGGGGUGUGUGCUAGGCCAACAUGAUGAAACGGGGAGAAAAGAAAGGGCGAUAUAUUAUCUCAGCAAGAAAUUCACUGACUGUGAAAUGAGAUAUUCGCCCAUUGAGAAGUUGUGUUGUGCCCUGAUUUGGACAACCCAAAGAUUAAGGCAGUACAUGUUAUACCAUACGACUUGGCUAAUCUCAAAGUUAGACCCGUUAAAGUAUAUGAUGGAUUCAACUGCUUUGAAUAGGAGGAUGGUCCGAUGGCAGAUUUUACUGUCUGAAUUUGAUAUCGUCUAUGUGAGUCAAAAAGCUGUAAAAGGGAGCGCAAUAACUGACUUUCUGGCUAGCAGGGCUUUGGAAGAUUACGAACCGUUAAGUUUUGAUUUUCCAAAUGAGGACUUGUUGUAUGUAGCUGCUAUUGAAGAAAAUCCCCAAGAACGUCACAGUUGGAAGCUAAACUUUGAUGGAGCCUCGAACGCUGUGGGCAAUAGAAUUGGGGCAGUCCUGGUGUCCCCGAAUGGUGAUCAUUAUCCUUUCACUUGCAAAUUGGAUUUUGAUUGUACAAACAACAUGGCAGAAUACGAAGCAUGCAUCAUGGGUAUUCGUGCAGCUAUAGAGCGAAGAACCAAAGUGCUAGAGGUCUAUGAAGAUUGAGUACUGGUGAUAUAUCAGCUUAGGGGUGAAUGGGAAACGAGAGAUCCCAAAUUAAUCAGUUAUCGAAAGUUGGUCCUCGAAUUGAUUAAGGAGUUUGAGGACAUCACUUUUUGCUAUCCCCUACGAGAUGAGAACCAGAUGGCUGAUGCACUAGCUACUUUAGCCUCUAUGAUCAAGGUGAACAAACAUGAGGAUAUGAAGCCUAUCCAAAUGAGUAUCUAUGAAAACCCAGCUCAUUGUUACAAUAUUGAAGAAGGAGAAAUCGAUGAUAGUCCUUGGUAUCAAGAUAUACUACGAUAUGUAAAAAAUCGUGAGUAUCUUGGCCAGGCAAUGGAGAAUGAAAAGAGAACUCUGAGAAGACUAGCCAUUGAUUACGUCUUAAAUGGGGAGAUCUUAUACAGGAGGGGAAAAGAUCAGGUACUGUUAAGAUGUGUGGACGCCGUAGAAGCAAAGAAAAUCCUGGAGGAAGUCCAUAAGGGCAUCUGUGGAACGCAUGCCAAUGGUUUCACAAUGGCUAGACAGAUUAUGAGAUUCGGGUAUUACUGUCCACCAUGGAAGGGGAUUGCAUCAAUUACUCCAAAAAGUGCCAUAAAUGUCAAAUCUAUGGUGAUAAAAUGCAUGCACCUCAUUCGCCUCUUCAUGUUAUGACUUCUCCAUGGCCUUUCUCCAUGUGGGGUAUGGAUGUCAUCGGGCCAAUAUCGCCGAAGGCUUCAAAUGGGCAUCGUUUCAUAUUUGUGGUUAUUGACUACUUCACCAAAUGGGUAGAAGCUGCUUCGUAUGCUAGCGUUACAAAGUCAUCAAUCAGUAAGUUCUUGAAAAAGGAGAUCAUAUGUCGAUAUGGAAUGCCUGAAAGAAUCAUAUCCGACAAUGCGCUGAACCUGAACAACAGCUAAAUAGUAGAAGUCUGCAGUCAAUUCAAGAUUAGACAUCACAAUUUAUCGCCGUAUUGCCCAAAAAUGAAUGGUGCAGUGGAAGCGGGUAAUAAAAAUAUAAAAAAGAUUGUGGGGAAGAUGACUGAGACUUACAGGGACUGGCACGAGAAAUUAUCGUUUGCCCUCCUUACUUAUCGAACGUCAAUCAGGACCUCCACCGGGGCAACGCCUUUCUCCUUAGUUUAUGGCAUGGAAGUAGUCUUGCCUAUCGAAGUUGAAAUCCCUUCUCUCCGGGUUUUGACUGAGCUACAAUUGGAUGAAGCAGAAUGGGUUCAAUCUCGAUACGAUCAGUUGAACUUGAUAGAGGGAAAAAGGCUAAAGACUAUUUAGCAUGGUCAGAUGUAACAGAAAAGAAUGAUGCGAGCCUACAACAAGAAGGUCCGACCUAGAGAAUUUCACGAUGGGGACCUGGUGUUGAGAAAAAUUCUUCCUCUACAAAAAGAUUUUAGGGGGAAAUAGAUGCCGAAUUGGGAAGGUCCUUAUGUUGUAAAAAAGGCCUUUUCUGGAGGAGCCCUAAUCUUGGCUGAAAUGGAUGGAAGAAACUUGCCUAAUCCAGUAAAUUCAGAUUCGGUCAAGAGAUACUUUACUUGAAGAAGGGAAGGAACCAAGGUGAAAACCCGCAAAGGGCGCUUUGAUUCCAAAAAAAAUAAAAAAAUAAAAUAAAAUGGAGAGGCUAGGGUGAAAACCCGCAAAGAGCACCUUAAGACCAAAGGGGUUUGAGUUGAAAACCUGACAAGGGCGGCUCAAAGUCUGAUUGAAGCACGUGGUAGUCUUGUUGUACCUAAAUCGGCAGAAAGGAAUAGAUGACAUCUUGGGGCAUCAACAAAAUACUAUGAAUCUCAUAAACACGUGUUAAAUUCAGAAGGGUCCUCAGAAAGUUGUAUAGAGCAAUUCAAGCAAAGAUAUCUGGGGCAGUUGUCCAUAAUUUGUGUUUCUAAAACACUUCAUUCUUUUUCAAUAUAAGUGUUUUAGUCAAUUUCCUUUUUUUUUUGACUUGUUUUCAUUGAUAAUUUAUUGCAAGUUAUGAUCUCAAGUCAAUUUCGUUUUAUCUAUCAUUAUGAUCUUUUCAAAAGCAUGUUGCAUUAGAAUAACGAUUAAUGGACUAAUAAAACUUUCACAAGGAAAGUUUUUCAUAUUACUCUGGAAAUUUCUAAAUAAUACAAGAACCUGAAGCAGGACUAUUGUUUAGACUUCACCGGGUUAAAAGGUCGAAGAUAUAUAGGAGUAAAAAGCCGAAUCAAGAAUUUUUGAGUUUUUUUCGAAGCGUUGUUAUGACAAAGGAAGCCUUAAUGUGUAAUAACGACUUCAAUAUUUAGCGUUAAUGAAUCAUUUUCAUGACAUAGCAUUUAGAUGUCAUUCAUACAUGCCUAGUUAAGAGCAUGUGAUCCAUUCCAAUCAUGAUAUCCUAAUCACUAGGCAUAAUUAGGUUUAUCAUACAGGUCAUGUUCCACAGAGAACAGGUCGGUGGAAUCAUAAAACCUUAUCUCCUUGAGCAGCAGUGGAGCAGGUUGAAAGAUAACAGAUAUUGUCUUCAUGUACUAGCGUGAAGUACAUCAGAGAUACCAGAUCUUGCCUUCCCAUACUGGUGGCGAAGCUGGUUGAAAGAUAACAGAUCUUGUCUUCAUGUACUGGCGUGAAGUAGAUCAGAGAUACCAGAUCUUGCCUUCCCAUACUGGUGGCGAAGCAGGUCAAAGAAAACAGAUCUUGUCUUCAUGUACUGGCGUGAAGUACAUCAGAGAUACCAGAUCUUGCCUUCCCAUACUGGUGGCGAAGCAGGUCAAAGAAAGAAGAUCUUGUCUUCAUGUACUGGCGUGAAGUAGAUCAGAGAUACCAGAUCUUGCCUUCCCAUACUGGUGGCGAAGCAGGUCAAAGAAAGCAGAUUUUGUCUUCAUGUACUGGCGUGAAGUAGAUCAGAGAUACCAGAUCUUGCCUUCCCAUACUGGUGGCGAAGCAGGUCAAAGAAAGCAGAUAUUGUCUUCAAGUACUGGCGUGAAGUAGAUUAGAGAUACCAGAUCUUGCCUUCCCAUACUGGUGGCGAAGCAGGUCAAAUAAAGCAGAUCUUGUCUUCAUGUACUGGCGUGAAGUAGAUCAGAGAUACCAGAUCUUGCCUUCCCAUACUGGUGGCGAAGCAGGUCAAAGAAAGCAGAUCUUAUCUUCAUGUACUAGCGUGAAGUAGAUCAGAGAUACCAGAUCUUGCCUUCCCAUACUGGUGGCGAAGUAGGUCAAAAAAAGCAGACCUUGUCUUCAUGUACUGGCGUGAAGUAGAUCAGAGAUACCAGAUCUUGCCUUCCCAUACUGGUGGCGAAGCAAGUCAAAGAAAACAGAUCUUGUCUUCAUGUACUGGCUUGAAGUAGAUCAGAGAUACCAGAUCUUGCCUUCCCAUACUGGUGGCGAAGCAGGUCAAAGAAAGCAGAUCUUGUCUUCAUGUACUGGCGUGAAGUAGAUCAGAGAUAACAGAUCUUGCCUUCCCAUACUGGUGGCGAAGCAGAUCGAAGAAAACAGAUCUUACCUUCCCAUACUGGUGCCGAAGCAGAUCGAAGAAAACAGAUCUUGUCUUCAUGUACUGGCAUGAAGUAGAUCAAAGAUAAUAGAUCUUGCCUUCCCAUACUGGUGGCGAAACAGAUCGAAGAAAACAGAUCUUGUCUUCAUGUAUUGGCGUGAAGUAGAUCAAAGAUAACAGAUCUUGUCUUUCCAUACUGGUGGUGAAACAGAUCGAAGAAAGCAGAUCUUAUCUUCAUGUACUGGCGUGAAGUAGAUCAAAGGUAACAGAUCUUGUCUUCCCAUACUGGUGGCGAAACAGAUCGAAGAAAGCAGAUCUUGUCUUCAUGUACUGGCGUGAAGUAGAUCAAAGGUAACAUAUCUUGUCUUCCCAUACUGGUGGCGAAGUAGAUCGAAGGAAAAAGCGGAUCUUAUCUUCAUGUACUGUCGUGAAGUAGAUCAAAGAUAACAGACCUUGUCUUCCCAUACUGGUGGCGAAGUAGAUCGAAGAAAGUAGAUCUUGUCUUCAUGUAUUGGCGUGAAGUAGAUCGAAGAAAGCGGAUCUUGUCUUCAUGUAUUGGCGUGAAGUAGAUCGAAGAAAGCGGAUCUUAUCUUCAUGUAUUGGCAUGAAGUAGAUCGAGGAAAGCAGAUCUUGUCUUCAUGUAUUGGUGUGAAGUAGAUCGAAGAAAGCAAAUCUUGUCUUCAUGUAUUGGCGUGAAGUAGAUCGAAGAAAGCAGAUCUUGUCUUCAUGUAUUGGCAUGAAGUAGAUCAAAGAGAGCAGAUCUUGUCUUCCCAUAUUGGUGGCGAAGUAGAUCGAAGAUACAAGUCUUAUCCCCCUGAAGUUGCAGUGGACCAGACAGAAAUAACCGAUCCUAUCUCCUUGGAAUUGCAAUGGAGUAGAUUAAAAUCACAGAUCUCAUCUCUCUGAAAUUGCAGUUGAGCAGAUCGCAUCCGAUUUAUCUUUAAGUCGUAGCAGAACAAGUCGAAGUUAUAAGUCUUAUCUCCCUGAAGAUACAGUGGAGCAGAUUAAAGAUAGCAAAUUUUGUUCUUUCGAGACGCUAUAACAUAUGAAUCUUAUUUCCCCGACAUUGUAAUGGGGUAGAUCGAAGCACCAGUUCCUAUACAUCUGAAGAUACAGUAGGAGGGAAUGUGGUUACUUGAAGAAGAAAAGCACUGAAGAAGGCGAGGCUCAGUAAGACCGGGUACAAUCGGGCUUUUAGUCUUUGCUCUACUCCCGUUACACGACAAUGAGCAAAGAGGGGCAGCUGUACAAGCCCAAUAAUGCCCGGGCCCAAACCCAAUAAACUAAACCAAAACCCAAUAGCUAAUUCCUAACCCAGGCCCGAAACUAAUGGAAAAUGGAAGGGUUGGGAAGCCCUAGCAGCAGCCCCCGCCUCCAGCAGACUCUCCAGGCGCCGCACGUCUCGGGGCCGACCUCUCCACACGCGCCAUUUGCUCCACGAACGCCUGCAAACGCGGACUCAAUGAGUCCGAAAGAAAAAAACAACAAGAAAUAACAUUAUUUCAUUAUUUUCUUUUUCUUUUUCGGGCUAUAAAAAGCCAUUUCUAAUCUGUAAAAUGGGGGUCGAAAAAUAUAUGCAAAGAUAUAGAGAGAAAAUACAAGAAUUAAACUUGUUUUUGCAUAGGUGAUUUCUUCUUUGUUUUGCUUUGCAGUGUCCAUCGUUUUUUACAUAUAUAUAGUUUUAUUCUCUUUUAUUUUCGUUUUAUUUCAUUUAAAAUAAUAAAGAAAAGAAGGGAUCUUACCUCUUUCGUCAAAGUCCCCGGAUGGUUGCCAUCUCCGUCGCAAUCGGAGCGUUGGCACGAACGGCGGCGCAAAAUGGGUUAAAAGAGCCCUAGCAGAGCAACUAUUCUUUUUUUUUAAAUGUUUGCUGUGGCUGUUGUUUUGAAGGAAAAC